UCAGCUAAACAAGAAAAGACUAAAUGCUCUGAAAUUGGAAAAAAUGAUGAAAACUACUCAAGAAUUCUCAUCUAAACUUUUUUUUUUCUUCAUCAAAACUAUGUGGUGAACACAUCUUAUACAGCAGAGCUACCAAAAAGGUUCCAGUCAUUAACUUUGAAGGUAGAGACAGCAAGCUUAAAGACCUCAGCCAUCGGCAAAAAUCCAGAUUGUGCAGCCGGAACGGCCAAACCAGCACCAACUGUGCUUGCACUUUCACUCAAAGGAUUUAUUAAGACCGGUUCAUAUGCAGUUAUUAGCACAUCUGUAGUAGCUCCCUUAAGGCGUAAAUUUGCCAAAUAAAUUUUUACAACAUUUUGUGCUUCUCUUCCUUGUCGUCCCUUAGAAAUUGCCAUUUGGCUGACAGCAGUGGUAACAACAGAAGGAAUAUUCCUGUAAUGCAAACCAGGGGCCUCAACUACUCCUGAGUGCUCAAUCAGUGUGCACCCUUCAGCAUCUUGUUCAGUAGCAAGGUCUUGAAGAAACCAGGUGGCACUUCCAUUAUCUCCAACAUCACGCUUAAAAUCUAAGAGCUCAAAGAUCAAGCUUUCAUCACGAGCAGGAUCCACAAAUACCUCCUGAUGAUCAGGAACUUGUCGAACAUUGCUCACAUCCUGAAACCUAAGAGGGAAGGUGCUAACAAUCGCACCUCCAAACAAUGAGCGCUCCGCAUAAAAAUCUUCCGGCAUUUUAGCAGAUAAAAUCCGAAACCAGGAAUCUCGUCCUUUACAACUGAAACGAGCGAGAGUUGAAGAGGGAAUUUUGCAGUUCUAAUGGAGUUUCGAAACUUCGCGGUCUGCGUGUGGGUUU
RNAcentral lists this unclassified non-coding RNA (849 nucleotides) under Hevea brasiliensis (rubber tree). The record is from RNAcentral. Lineage: Eukaryota; Viridiplantae; Streptophyta; Magnoliopsida; Malpighiales; Euphorbiaceae.